RNAcentral lists this small nuclear RNA (106 nucleotides) under Microcebus murinus (gray mouse lemur). The record is from RNAcentral. Lineage: Eukaryota; Metazoa; Chordata; Mammalia; Primates; Cheirogaleidae.
GUGCUUGCUUUGGCAUCACACAUACUAAAAUUGGAGCAAUACAGAGAAGAUUAGCAUGUUCACGUGCAAGGAUAACAUGAAAAUUUGUGAAGCAUCCUAUAUAUAU